CCUACGGGAGGCAGCAGUGGGGAAUCUUGCGCAAUGGGCGAAAGCCUGACGCAGCAACGCCGCGUGCGGGAAGAAGGCUUUCGGGCUGUAAACCGCUUUCAGCAGGAACGAAAAUGACGGUACCUGCAGAAGAAGGAGCGGCCAACUAUGUGCCAGCAGCCGCGGUGAUACAUAGGCUUCAAGCGUUGUCCGGAUUUAUUGGGCGUAAAGAGUUCGUAGGCGGUCAAGUAAGUCGGGUGUGAAAAUUCUGGGCUCAACCCAGAGACGCCACCCGAUACUGCUUAACUUGAGUUCGAUAGGGGAGUGGGGAAUUCCUAGUGUAGCGGUGAAAUGCGCAGAUAUUAGGAGGAACACCGGUGGCGAAGGCGCCACUCUGGAUCGAUACUGACGCUGAGGAACGAAAGCAUGGGUAGCAAACAGGAUUAGAUACCCUGGUAGUCCAUGCCGUAAACGGUGGGCACUAGGUGUGGGUUUCUAUUAACGAAAUCCGCGCCGUCGCUAACGCAUUAAGUGCCCCGCCUGGGGAGUACGGUCGCAAGACUAAAACUCAAAGGAAUUGACGGCUGAGACGNGCGAGACGACGACGAGGAGAG
RNAcentral lists this ribosomal RNA (593 nucleotides) under uncultured bacterium. RNAcentral describes it as "bacterial SSU rRNA". It matches the Rfam family "Bacterial small subunit ribosomal RNA", at positions 338 to 945 of the family's 1533-position model. The record is from RNAcentral.